GCAGCAGGACGGCUUGCCGCUGGCGCGUGGCGCACACAUUACUAUAUAUAUAUGAUGCGUGCGUGCGCGCAAGAGGAAAGUCCGGGCAACACAGGGCAUCCCGCUUCCUAACGGGAAGAAGGCCGCGAGGCUUAGCAAGUGCAGAAGAAAAGAACCGCCCGACGCGGUCGGGUAAGGGUGAGAAGGUGAGGCAAGAGCUCACCAGGCGUGUGGCGACAUGCGUGCUGUGCACACCGGGAGUUGAAAGUUCAUGUAAACCGGCGCUGCAUCUGUGCCAGACAAACUGGAACUGGAUGCGGAGAGGGCUGCCCGCCCGAGUCGGAGGGUAGAACGAGGUGGACAUCGCGUGCACGUCAAGGCAUACGGGUGUCGCGAGGUCAACGGUGACGUUGGCUCAGGAUAAAUGGCAGGCACCUUGCUUCGAGCAAGGCACAGAACCCGGCUUAUAGUUCGGCUGCGAGA
This 462-nucleotide RNase P RNA is filed under the name Candidatus Physcousia equi. RNAcentral's name for it is "RNase P RNA component class A". It matches the Rfam family "Bacterial RNase P class A". From Rfam's summary of the family: Ribonuclease P (RNase P) is a ubiquitous endoribonuclease, found in archaea, bacteria and eukarya as well as chloroplasts and mitochondria. Its best characterised activity is the generation of mature 5'-ends of tRNAs by cleaving the 5'-leader elements of precursor-tRNAs. Lineage: Bacteria; Pseudomonadati; Bacteroidota; Bacteroidia; Bacteroidales; Paludibacteraceae. The record is from RNAcentral.